AGUUGUGAUGGGGUGCCGACAGCAGGGCAUGAGGCCGAGGGAGGGUCUGUUAUGGUCACCCACAGACUCAAGAGCACACAGAGGCUAACCAGACUCAGUCCUGCUGGAGUGCAUUUCAGGGCCGCUGUGACCUGGGAUGGGGUCCAGGACGUGCUCUGCGUCUGGAUUAGCCCCUGGAGAGAGGAAGUAGAGUCAGCCCCCUUCUGCUCCGGUGCCACCAUCAAGACCCUCUGUGGGCGGUGCACACUGGUGACUGCAGCUCAGUGCUGACCUGUUGGCCCCUGGGGACGAGGGCCCAAGCCCCCCUGACCCCCCUGCUGCCACCUGUAGUCCUGCGGUGCCCAUUAUCACCUUCCCUGAGUGCUUCCUCUUCGUCUUCACCUCUGGCUGCCCAGGUGCCACUGGUUGCUCUGCAUCUAUUCUGAGCCCUUUGAGGGUCUGUUGAAGGGAGCUCUUUGGCUGGUGGUGUGUUUAGUUCAACUCUCUGGAUUUCUUGAUCCUGGCACAACAAUCCUGAGAGCAGCUCUGUCUUAUUAAUCCUUUGCCACCUGCUGCUGGCUCUUCGAUGCUCUUCACCCUUCAUCCUUGGCCCCACACCAUCAAGGCCUCCAUGCUCCCCUGCUCCUCUUGGGGAACUGAGGCUUGGAAAUGUGAAGUAAGAAGCCAUUGGUUACACAGCCAGCGAGGGGCAGGGCUGGGUUCCAGCCCAGGUCCACCUGAACCCACAGCCAGGAUGCUGGACCCUCCGUUAUGUUGUUUGUUUAUCUACAUCCAUGUUCACUUGGCUUUUUCUGGGGCAGUUUGAAGUUCUGGAUUCUUACUAUUUAAGCUAUUGCCUGUUCCUGUGGGGUUGAUAGCUCCAUUUUAAAUUUAUCUUUCAGUUGAAACCGACUUUGCACUGUGAGCUUUCAUAAGAAACAUAGAAGAGCAAUAAAGUAAAGGACAUGCAGAGAGCGCACACUGGGAGAGCAGGGACUGCGGCCAGAAGCACGGGCUCGGGUGUUGGAUGGCUGCUGACGUCACUCUCAGUGCUGCCUCUCGCUGGAUUUGUGACCACUGCAAUCAUCACCUCCUGGCCACGCCGAAUCUAGAACUCUGGUGUCCUCAGAAUGUGGCUGUCUUAGUGGGGCUUCCCAGAAGCAGAGCAAGGACUGCGGUGCAGGUAUUGAUCUGGGAGGACAGACCUCAGACAGCAGACUCGUGGAACAAGAGCAAAGUCCUCGAACAUACCCCAGAGAGCUGGAGAGGGCAGGUCACCCUGGGAUUCCCUGAAGGACACUUGCUUCUGUAAUCUGACCCAAGGUAACCACAACCCAGUGAAGGCGGCUUUACUCACAAUUCAUUUGAGGCCAUGUUAUACAUCUCAUUCUUCAUAGAAUGAAAAACCAAGACCCAGACUACCCGAGGAUGGCACUAAUUUUAAAAGCAACAGAGAAAAAUUGUGUUCUGUACAUCAGGACACAUGAGAAAGUAGUUAUGGCCACAGAGCUGUCUGGAUUGCAUAAUAAUUACUCAUCCCACCAGUAAAAGUAAAAGGACACAUAAAAUAU
Non-coding RNA from Ictidomys tridecemlineatus (thirteen-lined ground squirrel), 1550 nucleotides. The record is from RefSeq and is a predicted model, not a curated record. NCBI's taxonomy places the organism in Eukaryota, Metazoa, Chordata, Mammalia, Rodentia, Sciuridae.